GGGGAAUAUUGCACAAUGGGCGGAAGCCUGAUGCAGCAACGCCGCGUGAGGGAUGACGGCCUUCGGGUUGUAAACCUCUUUUAGCAGGGAAGAAGCGAAAGUGACGGUACCUGCAGAAAAAGCGCCGGCUAACUACGUGCCAGCAGCCGCGGUAAUACGUAGGGCGCAAGCGUUAUCCGGAAUUAUUGGGCGUAAAGAGCUCGUAGGCGGUUUGUCGCGUCUGCUGUGAAAUCCCGAGGCUCAACCUCGGGCCUGCAGUGGGUACGGGCAGACUAGAGUGCGGUAGGGGAGAUUGGAAUUCCUGGUGUAGCGGUGGAAUGCGCAGAUAUCAGGAGGAACACCGAUGGCGAAGGCAGAUCUCUGGGCCGUAACUGACGCUGAGGAGCGAAAGGGUGGGGAGCAAACAGGCUUAGAUACCCUGGUAGUCCACCCCGUAAACGUUGGGAACUAGUUGUGGGGACCAUUCCACGGUUUCCGUGACGCAGCUAACGCAUUAAGUUCCCCGCCUGGGGAGUACGGCCGCAAGGCUAAAACUCAAAGGAAUUGACGGGGACCCGCACAAGCGGCGGAGCAUGCGGAUUAAUUCGAUGCAACGCGAAGAACCUUACCAAGGCUUGACAUAUACGAGAACGGGCCAGAAAUGGUCAACUCUUUGGACACUCGUAAACAGGUGGUGCAUGGUUGUCGUCAGCUCGUGUCGUGAGAUGUUGGGUUAAGUCCCGCAACGAGCGCAACCCUCGUUCUAUGUUGCCAGCACGUAAUGGUGGGAACUCAUGGGAUACUGCCGGGGUCAACUCGGAGGAAGGUGGGGAUGACGUCAAAUCAUCAUGCCCCUUAUGUCUUGGGCUUCACGCAUGCUACAAUGGCCGGUACAAAGGGCUGCAAUACCGUGAGGUGGAGCGAAUCCCAAAAAGCCGGUCCCAG
Molecule: ribosomal RNA, 924 nt
Filed under: Microbacterium sp.
Lineage: Bacteria; Bacillati; Actinomycetota; Actinomycetes; Micrococcales; Microbacteriaceae
Description: bacterial SSU rRNA
Rfam family: Bacterial small subunit ribosomal RNA
Source: RNAcentral